RNAcentral lists this ribosomal RNA (756 nucleotides) under uncultured bacterium. RNAcentral describes it as "bacterial SSU rRNA". It matches the Rfam family "Bacterial small subunit ribosomal RNA", at positions 28 to 784 of the family's 1533-position model. The record is from RNAcentral.
GAUGAACGCUAGCGGCAGGCUUAACACAUGCAAGUCGAGGGGUAGAGGCCUUCGGGCCUUGAGACCGGCGCACGGGUGCGUAACGCGUAUGCAAUCUGCCUUCCACAGAGGGAUAGCCCAGAGAAAUUUGGAUUAAUACCUCAUAGCAUCAUGACCCGGCAUCGGGAUAUGAUUAAAGUCACAACGGUGGAAGAUGAGCAUGCGUCCCAUUAGCUAGUUGGUAAGGUAACGGCUUACCAAGGCUACGAUGGGUAGGGGUCCUGAGAGGGAGAUCCCCCACAUGGUACUGAGACACGGACCAGACUCCUACGGGAGGCAGCAGUGAGGAAUAUUGUCAAUGGGCGCAAGCCUGAACCAGCCAUGCCGCGUGCAGGAUGACGGUCCUAUGGAUUGUAAAACUGCUUUUGUACGGGAAGAAACCCUCCUACGUGUAGGAGCUUGACGGUACCGUAAGAAUAAGGAUCGGCUAACUCCGUGCCAGCAGCCGCGGUAAUACGGAGGAUCCAAGCGUUAUCCGGAAUCAUUGGGUUUAAAGGGUCUGUAGGCGGUCUUGUAAGUCAGUGGUGAAAGCCCAUCGCUCAACGGUGGAACGGCCAUUGAUACUGCUGGACUUGAAUUAUUGGGAAGCAACUAGAAUAUGUAGUGUAGCGGUGAAAAUGCUUAGAGAUUACAUGGAAUGCCAAUUGCGAAGGCAGGUUGCUACCAAUGGAUUGACGCUGAUGGACGAAAGCGUGGGGUAGCGAACAGGAUUAGAUA